Molecule: transfer RNA, 85 nt
Filed under: Sodalis endosymbiont of Henestaris halophilus
Lineage: Bacteria; Pseudomonadati; Pseudomonadota; Gammaproteobacteria; Enterobacterales; Bruguierivoracaceae
Description: tRNA-Leu
Rfam family: tRNA
About the family: Transfer RNA (tRNA) molecules are approximately 80 nucleotides in length.
Source: RNAcentral
UGCCCGGGUGGUGAAAUUGGUAGACACAAGGGAUUUAAAAUCCCUCGGCCUUUGGCUGUACGAGUUCAAGUCUCGUCCCGGGUAA